This 253-nucleotide ribosomal RNA is filed under the name uncultured bacterium. RNAcentral's name for it is "partial 16S ribosomal RNA". It matches the Rfam family "Bacterial small subunit ribosomal RNA", at positions 524 to 776 of the family's 1533-position model. The record is from RNAcentral.
UACGUAGGGCGCAAGCGUUGUCCGGAAUUAUUGGGCGUAAAGAGCUCGUAGGCGGUCUGCUAAGUUUGGAGUGACAGUUGGUGGCUUAACUGCCAAAGUGCUUCGAAAACUGACAGACUUGAGGGCUUCAGAGGGACACGGAAUUCCGGGUGGAGUGGUGAAAUGCGUAGAGAUCCGGAGGAACACCAAAGGCGAAGGCAGUGUCCUGGGGAGUACCUGACGCUCAGGUGCGAAAGCCAGGGGAGCGAACGGG